GACGAACGCUGGCGGCGUGCUUAACACAUGCAAGUCGAACGAAGUGGCGAACGGGUGAGUAACGCGUAAUCAACCUGCCCUUCAGAGGGGGACAACAGUGGGAAACGACUGCUAAUACCUCAUACUGAUGGCGGGGAUUUCGUCUGAUUAGCUAGUUGGAGGGGUAACGGCCCACCAAGGCGAUGAUCAGGAGCCGGUCAUAGAGGAGGAACGGGCACAUAGGGACUGAGACAAGGCCCAGACUCCUACGGGAGGCAGCAGUGGGGAAUCUUCCGCAAUGGACGAAAGUCUGACGGAGCAACGCCGCGUGAGUGAUGACGGCCUUCGGGUUGUAAAGAUCUGUUAUUCGGGACGCGGUACCGGAAUAGAAAGCAACGGCUAACUACGUGCCAGCAGCCGCGGUAAUUC
Molecule: ribosomal RNA, 408 nt
Filed under: uncultured bacterium
Lineage: Bacteria
Description: partial 16S ribosomal RNA
Rfam family: Bacterial small subunit ribosomal RNA
Source: RNAcentral